UAGGGAAUCUUCCACAAUGGACGCAAGUCUGAUGGAGCAACGCCGCGUGAGUGAAGAAGGUUUUCGGACCGUAAAGCUCUGUUGCUGGUGAAGAAGGAUAGAGGUAGUAACUGGCCUUUAUUUGACGGUAAUCAACCAGAAAGUCACGGCUAACUACGUGCCAGCAGCCGCGGUAAUACGUAGGUGGCAAGCGUUGUCCGGAUUUAUUGGGCGUAAAGCGAGCGCAGGCGGAAGAAUAAGUCUGAUGUGAAAGCCCUCGGCUUAACCGAGGAAUUGCAUCGGAAACUGUUUUUCUUGAGUGCAGAAGAGGAGAGUAGAACUCCAUGUGUAGCGGUGGAAUGCGUAGAUAUAUGGAAGAAUACCAGUGGCGAAGGCGGCUCUCUGGUCUGCAAACUGACGCUGAGGCUCGAAAAGCAUGGGUAGCGAACAGGAUUAGAUACCCUGGUAGUCCAUGCCGUAAACGAUGAGUGCUAAGUGUUGGGAGGCUUCCGCCUCUCAGUGCUGCAGCUAACGCAUUAAGCACUCCGCCUGGGGGAGUACGACCGCAA
This 548-nucleotide ribosomal RNA is filed under the name uncultured bacterium. RNAcentral's name for it is "partial 16S ribosomal RNA". It matches the Rfam family "Bacterial small subunit ribosomal RNA", at positions 355 to 891 of the family's 1533-position model. The record is from RNAcentral.